GGGGAAACACCCAACCCCUGUGACAUACCACUUGUUGCCUCGGCGGAUCAGCCCGCUCCCGGUAAAACGGGACGGCCCGCCAGAGGACCCCUAAACUCUGUUUCUAUAUGUAACUUCUGAGUAAAACCAUAAAUAAAUCAAAACUUUCAACAACGGAUCUCUUGGUUCUGGCAUCGAUGAAGAACGCAGCAAAAUGCGAUAAGUAAUGUGAAUUGCAGAAUUCAGUGAAUCAUCGAAUCUUUGAACGCACAUUGCGCCCGCCAGUAUUCUGGCGGGCAUGCCUGUUCGAGCGUCAUUUCAACCCUCAAGCACAGCUUGGUGUUGGGACUCGCGUUAAUUCGCGUUCCCCAAAUUGAUUGGCGGUCACGUCGAGCUUCCAUAGCGUAGUAGUAAAACCCUCGUUACUGGUAAUCGUCGCGGCCACGCCGUUAAACCCCAACUUCUGAAUGUUGACCUCGGAUCAGGUAGGAAUACCCGCUGAACUUAAAAAAAUCAAUAAGCCGGAGAGAA
This 510-nucleotide ribosomal RNA is filed under the name Fusarium sp. 20S. RNAcentral describes it as "eukaryotic LSU rRNA". The stretch from base 142 to 295 matches the Rfam family "5.8S ribosomal RNA". Lineage: Eukaryota; Fungi; Ascomycota; Sordariomycetes; Hypocreales; Nectriaceae. The record is from RNAcentral.